This 76-nucleotide transfer RNA is filed under the name Terriglobia bacterium. RNAcentral's name for it is "tRNA-Asn". It matches the Rfam family "tRNA". From Rfam's summary of the family: Transfer RNA (tRNA) molecules are approximately 80 nucleotides in length. Their secondary structure includes four short double-helical elements and three loops (D, anti-codon, and T loops). Further hydrogen bonds mediate the characteristic L-shaped molecular structure. tRNAs have two regions of fundamental functional importance: the anti-codon, which is responsible for specific mRNA codon recognition, and the 3' end, to which the tRNAs corresponding amino acid is attached (by aminoacyl-tRNA synthetases). tRNAs cope with the degeneracy of the genetic code in two manners: having more than one tRNA (with a specific anti-codon) for a particular amino acid; and 'wobble' base-pairing, i.e. permitting non-standard base-pairing at the 3rd anti-codon position. The record is from RNAcentral. Lineage: Bacteria; Pseudomonadati; Acidobacteriota; Terriglobia.
UGUGGCGUAGCCAAGUUGGUAAGGCACCGCACUGUUAAUGCGGCUAUCGUAGGUUCGAAUCCUACCGCCACAGCCA